This 253-nucleotide ribosomal RNA is filed under the name uncultured bacterium. RNAcentral describes it as "partial 16S ribosomal RNA". It matches the Rfam family "Bacterial small subunit ribosomal RNA", at positions 524 to 776 of the family's 1533-position model. The record is from RNAcentral.
CACGGGGGGAGCAAGCGUUGUUCGGAAUCACUGGGCUUAAAGGGCGCGUAGGCGGGCUGUCAAGUCUGGGGUGAAAUGCCGCGGCUCAACCGUGGAACUGCCUUAGAUACUGACGGCCUCGAGGGAGGUAGGGGCGUGCGGAACUGUAGGUGGAGCGGUGAAAUGCGUUGAUAUCUACAGGAACUCCGGUGGCGAAAGCGGCGCGCUGGACCUCUUCUGACGCUGAGGCGCGAAAGCUAGGGGAGCAAACGGG